This 566-nucleotide ribosomal RNA is filed under the name uncultured Gammaproteobacteria bacterium. RNAcentral describes it as "bacterial SSU rRNA". It matches the Rfam family "Bacterial small subunit ribosomal RNA", at positions 40 to 595 of the family's 1533-position model. The record is from RNAcentral. Lineage: Bacteria; Pseudomonadati; Pseudomonadota; Gammaproteobacteria.
CGGCAUGCUUAACACAUGCAAGUCGAACGGCAGCAUGACUAUAGCAAUACAGUUGAUGGCGAGUGGCGGACGGGUGAGUAAUAUAUAGGAAUCUGCCUUAUAGUGGGGGAUAACCCGGGGAAACUCGGGCUAAUACCGCAUAAUCUCUACGGAGGAAAGUGGGGGACCGUAAGGCCUCACGCUAAAAGAUGAGCCUAUAUCGGAUUAGCUAGUUGGGGGGGUAAAGGCCUACCAAGGCGACGAUCCGUAGCUGGUCUGAGAGGAUGAUCAGCCACACUGGGACUGAGACACGGCCCAGACUCCUACGGGAGGCAGCAGUGGGGAAUAUUGGACAAUGGGCGAAAGCCUGAUCCAGCAAUGCCGUGUGUGUGAAGGAGGCCUUAGGGUUGUAAAGCACUUUUAGUGGGAAAGAACAGUUUAAGAUUAAUAAUCUUAAGCCUUGACGUUACCCACAGAAAAAGCACUGGCUAACUCUGUGCCAGCAGCCGCGGUAAUACAGAGAGUGCAAGCGUUAAUCGGAAUUACUGGGCGUAAAGCGUACGUAGGUUGAUAUUUAAGUCAGAUGU